Molecule: long non-coding RNA, 1556 nt
Organism: Populus euphratica (Euphrates poplar)
Lineage: Eukaryota; Viridiplantae; Streptophyta; Magnoliopsida; Malpighiales; Salicaceae
Exons: 2
Source: RefSeq, a predicted model, not a curated record
UCAAUAUCAGUGAUCAAAUCCCUUUUUUCCCACUUAAGUGUGUGCCAGUAGAAACUCAUAUGGGGGAACACAAACUCAAAGAAGGGACUCAAUUAUUUGUAAAUCGGUUGUCGGCGAUUCAGAUGACCGACAAUUCGAAUGAUCAAUUUGAAAAAGAUACAGAACUCGAGGGACUGAGCAUGUUUUUAUCCAACAAUCUUUUGGGUCCCCUCUAGUCUGACCGGUCCAGAACGACAUCUGGGAGGGUUUUUUAUACUUUCAGCACAAGAAAUUUAAUGGCCUUUUUGAAAGAACAUAGUAAGAUGGGCCCGUGAGUGGACUGAGUAGUUCCUCUCUUUUAAUGGCCCAAUUUGCACUCUGCCGAACGCUGCCCUUCCUUCUUUCUUCUUCUUCUUCUUUUUAAAUUAUUAUUAUUAUUAUCUUUAAUAAACGAACAAUAAAAAUCCUUUGGCCAGGAAUUUGAAUUUAUCAAAUAAUAUUAAUGAAAAUAAUAAAUUCUGCUUAAAACAUUUACGUAUAGUAAUUUCUCGAGUCAUCCAAAAUGUUAAACAACAUUUAUUAAAAAAAUCCUUUAAGCCACGUGUUAAACGAUAUUUGUUGGGUUUAUUUUAAAAGUAUUUUUUGAACCCAUUUUAUUUGUUUGAAUAUACCAGUAUUAUUCUUAACAAGGGAAUAGACGUGAUAACUUCUCCAAUUUUUUAUUUGAAAUGUAAAGUAUAUAAGGAAGUUGAAUUCAGGAAUAACAUGUGAUAUAUAAAAUGUCUUGCCAUGAUAUGAUGUUGAAAGUCUGGGGCUCGGACACAAAAGAAAGCAGUGGUCUGGACCUUUGGCUGUUCUGUUUAGCCGAACAAGAUUGUGGCUCGUUUAUGUCCAUAAAAAUGUUGAACACGUCGUAGUUUUUAAAGCGAGGCGUUGUACGUGUCACAUGUUAAGCCUUUAACUCGGCCUGCAUCUCUCUAGCAUUCCGUUCCACAAAAUCAAUGUCGUCGACAUUGUCGAAGUACGGGCCUUCAGAGCACAACCCCCUUUUUCUCGAGACCUUUCAGCUAUAGGGGUGGCGGCAAUGAUAAGGAACAAGAGGAGACCAUUGUCACGAGAAAUGGGAACACUAGCUUGUAGUUAGAACGGAAAUGGAGACGAUAAUAGAAAUUAGCUACAUGUAUAUAAAACGACAAAGCCACCCCGUUUCCCCGCUGUAUGUUACGGGGGAUUGAUGGUUUUGUUUUGGUAGUGGUUGGAAGGGCAACGGAUGUUCUUCCCAUACUCACUUAGAUCCUUAUCCAAAAUGAUGGACAGCACUUACCACUCCUACUUAAUUAUGUUAUUAUCUAGUACAUAUAUGCAUUCAUUAAUUUUGUUUAGCUGAUCUUUAGCUUCUCUUUCCUCUUUGUUUAGGGUUUUGUACUAUUUUUAUUUUACUACAUAGAAGACUCCCGUUACAGAACCUAGCUAAGAUCGAUGGUUAUACAUGUGGGAAAUGAACAUGUGUGUCAAAAUUAGGAACUGACUGGGUAUAGUUGAAUGAAUAAAGAAAUGCAAGGGGGCAUAUAAUUGUU